This 372-nucleotide long non-coding RNA is filed under the name Ananas comosus (pineapple). RNAcentral describes it as "long non-coding RNA (ACOM_LNC015409)". Lineage: Eukaryota; Viridiplantae; Streptophyta; Magnoliopsida; Poales; Bromeliaceae. The record is from RNAcentral.
AAAAGAAAAGAAAAAUCGAUUACCAUCUCCCCUUCUCCCUUCACUCAAUCCACUAAAAUUUUAAAUGAAAAGCCCUUCCCUCUCGUCCUCUUUCCGCCACCGCAGCCAAUAAGGUAGAGUUUCAGCGGUUGCUAAAUGCUUAAAUAAGUAUUAGUAAAUUAGCAGCACUCUUUUUAGGUUAUAGCGACACUCUUUAACUGUCACUAUAUAUCAAGCGACCCCACAUGUAGCAACACUUUUUAAAAGUGUCGGUAAUUUAGGCAGCAACACUUUUUUUGACCUAUACCGACAUUUAAAAGUGUCGCUAUAGACCAUUUUUGUUGUAGUGAAUAUAUCAAAACUUUGGAAUUUACUAGCUCUGCUUAAUUAAUU